This 460-nucleotide ribosomal RNA is filed under the name uncultured bacterium. RNAcentral describes it as "partial 16S ribosomal RNA". It matches the Rfam family "Bacterial small subunit ribosomal RNA", at positions 338 to 795 of the family's 1533-position model. The record is from RNAcentral.
CCUACGGGAGGCAGCAGUGAGGAAUAUUGGUCAAUGGACGCAAGUCUGAACCAGCCAUGCCGCGUGCAGGAUGACGGCUCUAUGAGUUGUAAACUGCUUUUGUACGCGGGUAAACCCCGAUACGUGUAUCGGGUUGAAAGUAUCUUACGAAUAAGGAUCGGCUAACUCCUUGCCAGCAGCCGCGGUAAUACGGAGGAUCCGAGCGUUAUCCGGCUUUAUUGGGUUUAAAGGGUGCGUAGGCGGGUUGAUAAGUUAGAGGGGAAAUGUCGGGGUCCACCCCCGGAACUGCCCCUAAUCCUGUUGGACUAGAGAAUAGUUGCGGUAGGCGGAAUGUAUGGUGUAGCGGUGAAAUGCUUAGAGAUCAUACAGAACACCGAUUGCGAAGGCAGCUUACCAAACUAUAACUGACGUUGAGGCACGAAAGCGUGGGUAGCAAACAGGAUUAGAUACCCGUGUAGUC